GGAAACCAGCUUAUUAAAGGGAACCAUGGAAACAGGAAACAUUUUCAAAAGGAAAUGGAUCUUUUGGUGCAGUGGAGGCAUGAUAUCUAGUUUUUGUGAGGGCAGCAUCCAUCUACAUCAACUCUGUGCCCUGAAGAGAAUGGAAAGAAGAGGAAAAAAAAGCAGUGGGAGACAAGUUUAUGUGAAGGGGCAGUGUAUUAUAAAACUACCUACAUCAAACCUCUUGCUGUCAUGUAUAUUUUCUCCUGGCCAACUGACACACAAUGAUGGUGAGAAGAAUCCUGUGGCUAGCAUUUUUGUGGCACCAAGGGACAGAAGUAAACUUGAUUAAUAUAAGACAUAUUUAAAAUGUCUGCACUCCUAGUUUUAUAAUAAAAUAAAAUUCUGAAUUAACA
RNAcentral lists this long non-coding RNA (395 nucleotides) under Phascolarctos cinereus (koala). RNAcentral describes it as "lncRNA (ENSPCIG00000029153.2)". The record is from RNAcentral. Lineage: Eukaryota; Metazoa; Chordata; Mammalia; Diprotodontia; Phascolarctidae.